Transfer RNA from Tilletiaria anomala, 103 nucleotides. It matches the Rfam family "tRNA". From Rfam's summary of the family: Transfer RNA (tRNA) molecules are approximately 80 nucleotides in length. Their secondary structure includes four short double-helical elements and three loops (D, anti-codon, and T loops). Lineage: Eukaryota; Fungi; Basidiomycota; Exobasidiomycetes; Georgefischeriales; Tilletiariaceae. The record is from Rfam.
GCUGUAAUGGGUUAGUGGCAUACUGUUUCGUUGCCAUCUAAGCUUGUUCACUGAGCAAUGUGAAGAUCUCGAAACGACCUGGGUUCGAUUCCCAGUUACAGCA